CCCGUCCCCUAUGAGAGGUCCAGCCUGCCCAGUGGAUUUACUAAACGGCCGCGGUACCCUAACCGUGCUAAGGUAGCGCAAUCACUUGUCCCCUAAAUAGGGACUUGUAUGAAUGGCACCACGAGGGUUAUCCUGUCUCCCCCCUUUAAUCAGUGAAACUGACCUCCCCGUGAAGAGGCGGGGAUAAACAUAUAAGACGAGAAGACCCCAUGGAGCUUUAAAUACACACCACCUACUCUUCUUACACCCAUCAAACCAAGUAGCCUGGCCACUGUUUUAGGUUGGGGCGACCACGGAGUAAAACUCAACCUCCGAGACGAACAAUAAUUCAAGAACAACAACUCAAAAAAUCAAAACUGACGUAAUUGACCCAAGCUCAUUUGAUCAACGAAC
This 393-nucleotide ribosomal RNA is filed under the name Synapturanus sp. Manaus. RNAcentral describes it as "partial large subunit ribosomal RNA". It matches the Rfam family "Archaeal large subunit ribosomal RNA", at positions 1927 to 2490 of the family's 2987-position model. The record is from RNAcentral. Lineage: Eukaryota; Metazoa; Chordata; Amphibia; Anura; Microhylidae.